UUCGGGGGUACACGAGCGGCGGACGGGUGAGUAACGCGUGGGAAUCUACCCCAAACUGAGGGAUAAGCAUUGGAAACGAUGUCUAAUACCGCAUAUGGUCUUCGGAUUAAAGCUUCGGCGGUUUGGGAAGAGCCCGCGUAAGAUUAGCUAGUUGGUGAGGUAAAAGGGCUCACCCAAGGGCGACGAUCUUUAACUGGUUUGAGAGGAUGAUCAGUCACACUGGAACUGAGACACGGUCCAGACUCCUACGGGAGGCAGCAGUUAGGAAUUUUCCACAAUGGGCGAAAGCCUGAUGGAGCAAUGCCGCGUGCAGGAUGAAGGCCUUAGGGUUGUAAACUGCUUUAUACGUGAAGAAUAUGACGGUAACGUAUGAAUAAGGAUCGGCUAACUCCGUG
This 395-nucleotide ribosomal RNA is filed under the name uncultured bacterium. RNAcentral's name for it is "bacterial SSU rRNA". It matches the Rfam family "Bacterial small subunit ribosomal RNA", at positions 79 to 507 of the family's 1533-position model. The record is from RNAcentral.